RNAcentral lists this long non-coding RNA (371 nucleotides) under Dromaius novaehollandiae (emu). Its description in RNAcentral is "lncRNA (ENSDNVG00000011064.1)". The record is from RNAcentral. Lineage: Eukaryota; Metazoa; Chordata; Aves; Casuariiformes; Dromaiidae.
AUCAAAAGCAUCCACUGACACUGCUGGACAGCUGCCUAAGGCUUCUUCAGUUCCCUUUUUGAAAGAUUGUGCUUGUAAGAUUCACUAAUAAAGAUUUCCCAUGAAGUGAUAUCACUCUGCAAGCUUCCAGCUGUAAAAAGGGUACAUCAUCUGCUUUCAGUUCUCGAUGUCGGGUCUCUGCUCUGCCUACACAGAACAUGCUGAACUGUGCAGGAAUGGGAUGGCAUGAGAUGGAGCUGAGAGGAAGUUCCCUUCUUUGCAAAAAGUCGGCACAAGCUCCGUGCCCCACUCUUACGUCUGUGAAUACAUUGGUCUGCRUGUGCAAUGACAGAGUGCCAGAGCAGGUGGAUCAGGAAGCAGAUGGAAGUUGA